GUAAGUUUGAAAAGAUAGUUUAAUUGUCACUUUCAUUCACAAUGAUCAAGAAACACCCGAGGUAUCCAGGGUUCGAAUCCCUGAGCUUCCGCCA
Molecule: transfer RNA, 94 nt
Filed under: Ferriphaselus amnicola
Lineage: Bacteria; Pseudomonadati; Pseudomonadota; Betaproteobacteria; Nitrosomonadales; Gallionellaceae
Description: tRNA-Val
Source: RNAcentral